Molecule: non-coding RNA, 741 nt
Organism: Neofelis nebulosa (Clouded leopard)
Lineage: Eukaryota; Metazoa; Chordata; Mammalia; Carnivora; Felidae
Source: the annotation of a RefSeq genome assembly
CCUGUGUGUGCACAUGGAGAAGAGGGAGGGGUGGGUCUAAUUUGCAUGAGCAGCCCCUCCUCUGUGACCCUGUGGACAGGGGAUAAGACAGGCCAGGGGCAGUCCAGCCCCAGCUCUGUGGCCUAAGAAGGGCGUCUCUGUGUGUCACCAUGGCCUGGAUCCCCAUCCUCCUCAUGCUCCUCUGUCACUGCACAGGUUCCCUGUCCCAGCCUGUCGUGACUCAGCCAGCCUCCGUCUCUGCAUCUCUGGGAGCCACAGCCAGACUCACCUGCACCCUGAGCAGGGACAUCAAUGUUGGAAGCUAUAACAUAUAUUGGUACCAACAGAAUCCAGGGAGCCCUCCCCGGUAUCUCCUGUACUACUACUCCAACUCAGAUAAGCACCAGGGCCCUGGGGUUUCCAGCCGCUUCUCUGGGUCCAAAGAUGCCUCGGCCAAGGCAGGGCUUCUGCUCCUCUCUGGGCCGUAGCCUGAGGACGAGGCUGACUCUUCCUGUGCUACAGCUCAUGGCAGUGGGAGAAGCUUUGGCUACUCACAGUGACUCAGAUAUGGAGAAAGUGAGUCAUAAACCCCUGGGUCCACAGACCUUGUGUCUGAGCCUCUGUUAUUGGGAAGCUUCUGUGAGGCUCCUGUGGGGGAGACACCUCUAUGGUGAGAGCUGUCCUUGAGGAGGAAGGACGGACACACAGAUGAUGCUCUUGCCUGAGACAGCACACGUGUCCCAGGAGCCCACGUGAAUCAGG